This 427-nucleotide ribosomal RNA is filed under the name uncultured bacterium. Its description in RNAcentral is "bacterial SSU rRNA". It matches the Rfam family "Bacterial small subunit ribosomal RNA", at positions 355 to 774 of the family's 1533-position model. The record is from RNAcentral.
UGGGGAAUUUUGGACAAUGGGCGAAAGCCUGAUCCAGCCAUGCCGCGUGAGUGAAGAAGGCCUUCGGGUUGUAAAGCUCUUUCAGCCGGAAAGAAAUCGCGCAGGAUAAUACUCUGCGUGGAUGACGGUACCGGAAGAAGAAGCACCGGCUAACUACGUGCCAGCAGCCGCGGUAAUACGUAGGGUGCGAGCGUUAAUCGGAAUUACUGGGCGUAAAGCGCGCGUAGGUGGUUAGUUAAGUUGGAUGUGAAAUCCCCGGGCUCAACCUGGGAACUGCCUUUGUGACUGCAUAGCUAGAGUACGGUAGAGGGGGAUCGAAUUCCGCGUGUAGCAGUGAAAUGCGUAGAUAUGCGGAGGAACACCGAUGGCGAAGGCAAUCCCCUGGACCUGUACUGACGCUCAUGCACGAAAGCGUGGGGAGCAAACA